This 497-nucleotide ribosomal RNA is filed under the name uncultured bacterium. Its description in RNAcentral is "partial 16S ribosomal RNA". It matches the Rfam family "Bacterial small subunit ribosomal RNA", at positions 28 to 507 of the family's 1533-position model. The record is from RNAcentral.
GAUGAACGCUGGCGGCGUGCCUAAUACAUGCAAGUCGAGCGAACGGACGAGAAGCUUGCUUCUCUGAUGUUAGCGGCGGACGGGUGAGUAACACGUGGAUAACCUACCUAUAAGACUGGGAUAACUUCGGGAAACCGGAGCUAAUACCGGAUGAUAUUUUGAACCGCAUGGUUCAAAAGUGAAAGACGGUCUUGCUGUCACUUAUAGAUGGAUCCGCGCUGCAUUAGCUAGUUGGUAAGGUAACGGCUUACCAAGGCAACGAUGCAUAGCCGACCUGAGGGGGGGGCAGGCCCAAGUGGAAGUGAGCCAGCGUCCGGCCCCCGACGGGGGGAAGCAGGAGGGAUUCUCCCGAAAGGGGCGAAAGCCUGAGGGGGCACCGCCGGGGGAGUAAUGAAGUUUUUGGGAUCGUAAACCUUUUUUAUAGGGAAAAAAAAUAUGUGUAAGAAAGUGUGCACUUCUGGAGGUGACCUAAUAAGAAAGCCCCGGCUAACUCCGGG